UAUUACAUAUUAUUAACUUAUCGCGUAGUUUGUAAGACUCCGCAUUGGUUUAUUAGCUAUUAUUAUUUUAUUGCUGAGUUUAUAAGACUCCGCGUUGGCUUAUUAGCUAUUCUUAUGCUAUCGCUGAGCGCUCGUCUCUUACGUAUUCUAAUCGCUAAGGGUCAGGGUCAUAAUUUUUGCCCAGUUUGACAGUUCACACUUGAAACAUAUGUUAUUUAUUUUAUGCUAGCUGUCGAGUGCAUAGCGCGUACGUUCCCCUACUUAUCAUAUUUUUAUGUUCAUGCAUGUUCAUGAACAUUCUGCGGGGGGCCAGAGAAGGUUAUAGCUAACAAUUUCUGUCUCUGGUUUCUCUUCUUUAUUAGAUACACGACAAAUAGCGAUAUUAUAAUUAUUACUAGUCCCAACGAAAUAUGUCCAUUCAUUGUGUGGAAGACAAGAUCUUCAAUAUGUACCUUUUGCCGCUGCAGGUCUUCUAUGCUUUGUUGAACUCGUUGUAGCUCUACUGAGUUAUUUGCGACAAUGUGUUGAAGUGGUGUUAUCCCAUGUGACGUUCUAGUCGAUUAUUUUGAGGAAAAGUGGCGAGUACCUUGCAGUAUUUGUAGAUACUAGAUCCUGCGGAGUAAUAAUGUUAAUUUUACCUAUUCUGGCUGAGCAUCCAGCAUAUAGCUCGAUUAUGCCUUGGUUUGGUAACUGGACUAUCUCCUCGUAGUUUCCGCAUAUAAUGUGGGCAGACUUCUCCUUAAAUACUUUAAAGAGCCAUCGGUUUUUUCCAUUGAGUUUCUUGACGAACUGAUCAUGCAAUCCUUAUGUUCGUGCCUGAACAUUCUGCAGGGCCCAGAGAAUAAGCCGAGUAUGCCACCAUCACCUUGGUCUUUUGUUCAGGUGGCGGUUCCCAGGCCAAGUGAAGUCGUGUCUCUUUAAAGAACUUCUGCGGCUUAUAGGUGUCAUCGUUUUUUGCAUUAAUACAGCUGAUUGCAUCUGUUGAGGAAGUUGUCGAUCGCUUCAUUAUUGCUGAGGCCAAAGCCUCCAAGUGAUAGACGUCCUUCUGUUGAUUCUGAUGCCUUAUUGUGCCUAUUGUUUCGCUUGUAGUGGUUAUUGUUGUUUCCUUUAAUAUGUUGCUGCUACUUCCAAUUGACUCCUUUUCUGAUGUAAUUGUACUUGCAGCUUGUAGUGGUCGAAAAUAAAUAACAAUUCGAAUUAUAGGUACAAAUACAAAUAGUGGGAACGGGUAAUAAAACUUAAUUUGGUAUGCGUGAGUCACCCUACUUUUUUUUUUUGGUGUUAGGAGAAGACAUGCAAAUCAGGCGAUUGCACCGCAAGCGCAGUUUAGAAUCGUACGACUGUACCGCAAGCGGACAAGUUUAGAAUCGUACGAUUGUACCGCAAGCGGACAAGCGACAAACGCAACGAUAAGUACAGCAGCGCUUAGCGCCACUUUAGUUUAAUACAGCGUCAGAAAGUAAAAGAUCGUUGAUGCGGGCAGACGUUAAUCGCCGCAGUGAACGAGUUAAAAACUAAAAAAAAACGUGGUGAUCGAACGCUAUAGAUAAACCAAUUGCAGUGUUAAAUACAAAUUUAAAGAGUGAUAAUUAGUCGAUUAUAAAUCGAGAGGCAGCCACUGGCAGCAAAACAGUAUAGUUGUUGAAGCCUCCUCCAGGCCGAAGACUUCGGUCACGAGCAAGUGUCUCUUCCUAGUAUGCUUUGUACAACGCGCCAAUAUCAUUCUCAAAGUAUAUUCCUCAACAACAACUUAAUUGCACCCCAACAACAACAGUUAUUUUCGUCACAACUGUCAACUCACCACGACUUUAAAAUACCUUGCUCACGCCAAGUCAACUACGCAACUACGGUGAACUAUAUAACUUAGCUUACUACGUUUGAGAAACUGCAGCUGGCUACAUAAAGACAACAACAGCGUAAGACGAAACCAACACAAUCAUAUGCCGGUCCUAGACAACUUCUAAAGAGAGAUUAAGUAAUAUACUCGACUCAAGUGUAGGGUAUCUGCUGGCGCACUAAGGUGAAAUAUUUGCAAACGCACAUCAAAGCAAAAUAAAAUGUAAAAGAAAAAGAGAAAUAUUUGAACGGGAAGGGCGGAUAGCUGAUACACUCACCGGAAGGGUUCUGCUAAUAUUUAACUAACAAAA
Long non-coding RNA from Drosophila mojavensis, 2147 nucleotides. RefSeq lists it as uncharacterized. Lineage: Eukaryota; Metazoa; Arthropoda; Insecta; Diptera; Drosophilidae. The record is from RefSeq and is a predicted model, not a curated record. The transcript is spliced from 2 exons.